ACAAACCUCAGUACAAAGCUGUACUUUUCCUUGGAAAGUUAACUGCAACAAUCUUGACGACAAGGAUAAAAAAGAAAACCCAGAUGUACUGGCAUCUCUCCAGAAGCCUGAACAAACACAGGGUAGAAAGUAAGCGAGGACGAUGCGGCGAAGCGGCAGAGGGAGAAGUCGGGCUCAGAGUCUAUUUCACAUCACACUGCUGUCAGAGCAAAAGCCUAAUGGAACAUCCCCACUCUGGACUGGAAGGGUCUGAGCAGAUCUGACAGCCUGGAAGAGCUGCACCUUGUCUGCAAACUCAAACACACUCCCUAGCUUGUCUCCCGUUUUACUGCAUACACAGGUAAAAACGAAAACCCAGCUGGACUGCGAGCGUCGGUGCUUAACGUUUUCCUACUGACACUUUGGAGUCGUAAUCCGUGUAAUGACUGGCGAAGGUUUGGACCGAGUUAAUAGAGCCGAGAUGCAACCAGAUGGCAGAAAGAAAUGAGAUGUAAAAACAUCACAGCAGGUUUGGAAGUCAGCUCUGCUACCAAGUAAACCACUGGUAUGGAUGACAAAGCAACAAACCCCUUGCAGUGCUUCCAGCUCUCUUCGUUCCCCCUCAUCUAUUUUUUCAUGUUUUGUCAUGUAAAAACUGGAAACUUGGA
Molecule: long non-coding RNA, 647 nt
Organism: Poecilia reticulata (guppy)
Lineage: Eukaryota; Metazoa; Chordata; Actinopteri; Cyprinodontiformes; Poeciliidae
Source: RefSeq, a predicted model, not a curated record